Cyprinus carpio (common carp) is the source of this 525-nucleotide long non-coding RNA. RefSeq lists it as uncharacterized. NCBI's taxonomy places the organism in Eukaryota, Metazoa, Chordata, Actinopteri, Cypriniformes, Cyprinidae. The transcript is spliced from 3 exons. The record is from RefSeq and is a predicted model, not a curated record.
UUCAUGUUCGAAUAGGCCUCUACACAAACUCUUUACUCACAAACACUCACUGAAACUCACAGAAUCCCCUUCCCUCUUGCUCUGCUUGGCUUCAUAUUUCUCCAUUACGCAGGCAGUAAUGAUGACUGACGGGUGCUACUGUCCCCUGGUGGAUAAAUAGAAAACUGCAGCGCUUUAACCUCAAGGCAGCUCUUUCCACAGACGACCUUGUUGUUUGUGAAUCUCGCCACGAGGAGGAGCACUAACACAACACAGACCACUCUUUCAAUAGACACAAGGCAGCAGAGGGAGGAGGGGCCUGAUGUGUUUCUGUGUGGCUGCAGGAGGGAGGAGUCACGCACCUGUGAAUCUACACCUGAGAACGAACCAAGCCGGAGAAUAGGCAGAAAAGAAGAGAUAGACAGAAACUCAUUGAAACCGGGCCUAUAGGGUGAUGACCUCACCUGCUGGACUCUACUGGACAGAGAACUGAACCAAAGGAUAGUGACCAGAUAACAACUAUCUCAACAGACGUACAUUCACCUG